AUCUCCAUAAAUCCCGGUUUUAUCACGAAUUGAAGUGAUAACUGGGAUUCUGUGGAGAUCU
RNAcentral lists this microRNA precursor (61 nucleotides) under Pristionchus pacificus. RNAcentral describes it as "microRNA ppc-mir-2251b precursor". The record is from miRBase by way of RNAcentral. Lineage: Eukaryota; Metazoa; Nematoda; Chromadorea; Rhabditida; Neodiplogasteridae.